CCAACGGCCCUCUUUAGGGCCACAUAUCUAUUAUCCGAUCAUGU
This is a non-coding RNA of Caenorhabditis elegans, 44 nucleotides long. Lineage: Eukaryota; Metazoa; Nematoda; Chromadorea; Rhabditida; Rhabditidae. The record is from Rfam.